Molecule: long non-coding RNA, 1616 nt
Organism: Anolis sagrei ordinatus
Lineage: Eukaryota; Metazoa; Chordata; Lepidosauria; Squamata; Anolidae
Source: RefSeq, a predicted model, not a curated record
UCCAUGUUCCUGUCAGUUACACUCUCUUCAAAUUCUAACAAGAUUUUAAGCUCUCCUCUUAUCUCCUCCUCCUCUUCCCCUGAUUGCUGUUGCAUCUGCUUGUUUCAGCUAUCUUUGGUUCCAUCCAUCACCAUACUAACAAUUUGUAGGAGAAGUUAUAGUGAACAACCCCUGCAGUCUUCCAUUCAACAGUUCUUCCUUACCUGUUAACAUAUCCUGCAGCCAGAGGCAGCCCUAGGUAAUUUUCAAUGAAUUAUGGACAGAUUCAUCUAGUUCAGCCAAGUUGUUCAAAUCACUGUCCUUCAUUGUACAAAAAGAACUGAACAGAACAAACCACUUCCCUCUUUGCCAUCUAUGGACCUCAUCACAUUAAUAGGCCCCCAGUUCCGUUUCACCGAUGAAUAGAAGGUGAAGGAAAGGCACAUGUGAUGGCUUGCAGCGACCUGCACACCCUCCCUCCUUCCCCCAUCACAUGGAGACAUCGGGACCUCUGGAAUGGGAAAAUAGCCAGGGCAGUGGACACAAUCACUCCUGAAUGGAGCAGAGCCCAACCAGCCCCCUGGUUUUCCAAGAAGUUGGCAGUGAUGAAGCAAGUGAGAUGGAAGCUAAAAUGACGUUGGCGGAGAAAGCCUACUCUGUGGCAAUGGAGGCAGCAGAGAAAUCGUUCCCUGCUGACACCAUUGCAUCUGCAAGGAACCGUCCAGCUGAGCUGUUUUGUGAUUAAUAUGUUUUUAUUUUCAAUUUGCAUAUUCAUUAAAAACAGUGAAACAAAUCUAUAUACAUGUACAUAUGCAUGAACCAAAACUUCCUAACAUCUAUAUAAUAGUUGUGUUGGUUAUGCUCUCCCCUUUUCCCAGCCCUCCCAAUUUAGUGACUUCAUGUCCCUUGGGUUGAAAACAUUAAUAUAUUUCCAUUCUUCCUUCCUAUUACAUUGUUUUGCUAUUCUUCCUUCUGGCCUAAUAUUUAUUAUUUAUAAAUUCCCUACACAGAUUCUAACAGAUUAAAUUAUUAAGCCUUCUAUAAAACUUUUUGUUCCUUCUUUUUUUUUACAUAGGUUAGAAAUGGUUCCCAGUCCUUGAUAAAGUUUUUUGUGUUUUUUUCUUUGUUAUCAUUGCUAAUUUGUCAAUUUCUGCUAUUUUAAAGACUUUAAGUAUCCACCCUUCUAUUGUUGGGAAGUCUGCCUUCUUCCAGAACUGGGUGUAUAAUGUUCCUGCUGCUAUUAUCAUAUAAUGUAAUACUUUAUAGCAGUGGUUCUCAACCUGUGGUCCAUGGACCACCAGUGGUCCACAAGAACUAAAAUAAGGUCCGCAGUCUCACUGUUACUACACCGUUGCAACAAGAGCGACUGGUCUCACAAAACCUUCUUAUAGUAUUGAGGCUUAUUAAAUAUGGUUUUCUGUUUCAUUAACCACCUCAUCAGACGGGGUGAUUUUAGCUUCCUAGGACAUUUCCACCCCAUGACUGAUGGGUUCGCUGCCCAUCUGAUGAUGCAAGGGAGCUUCCUGUGGAAGGCCUGCACCCCAACACAGGGCCUCCCCACAAUGACAACGCUUUCCUCUUGUGAUGGGAGCUUCCUCUCCAGCAGCUUUUUGUAUAAACAUGCCUGCUUUCUUUGU